This 254-nucleotide ribosomal RNA is filed under the name uncultured bacterium. Its description in RNAcentral is "partial 16S ribosomal RNA". It matches the Rfam family "Bacterial small subunit ribosomal RNA", at positions 524 to 776 of the family's 1533-position model. The record is from RNAcentral.
UACGUAGGUGGCGAGCGUUGUCCGGAUUUACUGGGCGUAAAGGGCGCGUAGGCGGCCUCCGCAAGUCAAUUGUGAAAUCUCCGGGCUUAACUCGGAAAGGUCAACUGAUACUGCGGGGCUAGAGUGCGGAAGGGGCAACUGGAAUUCUUGGUGUAGCGGUGAAAUGCGUAGAUAUCAAGAGGAACACCUGCGGCGAAGGCGGGUUGCUGGGCCGACACUGACGCUGAGGCGCGAAAGCUAGGGGAGCGAACGGG